This 92-nucleotide microRNA precursor is filed under the name Rhinopithecus bieti (black snub-nosed monkey). RNAcentral's name for it is "miRNA (ENSRBIG00000008336.1)". Lineage: Eukaryota; Metazoa; Chordata; Mammalia; Primates; Cercopithecidae. The record is from RNAcentral.
AGUCUGCUAGUCUGGACUGAUAUGGUUAGCUUUUCUUUUUUUUUUUUUUGAGAUGGAGUCUGGCUCUGUUGCCCAGGCUGGAGUACAGUGGC